Molecule: non-coding RNA, 1976 nt
Organism: Oryza sativa Japonica Group (Japanese rice)
Lineage: Eukaryota; Viridiplantae; Streptophyta; Magnoliopsida; Poales; Poaceae
Source: RefSeq, a predicted model, not a curated record
CAAUGUGUGUGUGCAGCAGAGUUUGCAAUCUUACAUGGCUUCUAACAUUAGUGCAGCUGCUCCCAUGUUGGUAGAAGCUUUCGAUGCCUCAGUGUGGGGCGACUUCUUUGUGAACUAUACUCCAGAACCGUUACAGAAGUCGGAGGAAUGGAUGAGGGAUAGGCUGAUCAAUUGAAGGAGGAGGUAACUUUGCUAUUUGAAACUUGCAAGGAUGUGGAGGAAAAAUUGAAACUUGUGGAUGUGCUCCAACAUUUGGGAAUAGACCAUCACUUCGAGAGACGUAUUGCCGUUGCUUUAAGCGACAUUCAUGGUGCUGAAUUCAACAGCUCCAGCCUCCAUGAUGUCGCGCUUCGAUUCCGUUUGCUUCGGCAGCAUGGGCUAUGGGUUUCUCCAGAUGAGUUCAACAAGUUUAAAGGCCCAGAUGGGAGAUUCAACGCUGAAGUAAUAGAUGAUCCCAUGGGCAUGUUGAGCUUAUACAAUGCAGCUCACCUAUUAAUUCAUGGCGAGGUGGAAUUGGAAGACGCUAUUUUGCUCUCAAGGCAUCAACUCGAAACAAUAAUAGCAAGAAAUCUCAAGUCGUCACCAUUAUCUCAACAAGUAACACGGGCCCUUCGAAUACCUUUACCACGGACCUUGAAGAGGAUAGAGGCGCUUAAUUAUAUAGCAGAAUACAAUCAAGAGCAAGCAUGCAAUCCCUCUGUGCUCCAACUUGCAAGGCUGGAUUUUAACCUUCUGCAACUUCUUCACUUGAGGGAGCUCAAGGAAUUUUCUCGGUGGGGAAAUAAUCUAUACGGUGCAGUGGAACUAACCUACUCUCGAGAUCGUAUAGUUGAAUGCUACUUUUGGUCCUAUACAAUUUACUACGAACAGAAAUAUGCGCAAGCACGAAUCAUCCUUGCCAAGAUAUUCGUGCUAGCAACCUUACUAGAUGACACUUAUGAUAUGCAUGCUAUAUUGGAAGAGGGCCAAAAGCUCAAUGAAGCAAUACAGAGAUGGGAUGAGAGUGCCAUUUCUGUUUUGCCGGAGUACUUGAAGAAUUACUAUGCCAAGCUAAUGAGUACCUUCAAAGAGAUUGAGGAUGAACUGAAAUCAGAGGAGAAGUACUACAUUACUUAUGCUGUAAAAGCGUAUCAAAGGUUAUGCAAGUCUUACCUCCAGGAAGCUGUAUGGUUUCAUCAGAAUUACAUACCAAGCUUUCAAGAACAUUUGGAUGUGUCCAUCAUCUCCUCGGGCUCUUCAAUGCUAUCUGUUGUGUCAUUUGUUAGUGCCGGUGAUUUAGCAACAAAAGAAGCCCUUGAAUGGGCCUUUGGUUGCACCGAUGCUGUCAAGGCUUGUGGCGAAAUUGGACGCUUCCAGGAUGACUUGGCUGCAUUCAAGCACGGGAAGGGCAAACUAGAUAUGGCCACCUCUGUUGAGUCCUACAUGAAGGAGCACAAUGUCACUGGUGAGGAAGCCACGGCUGUGAUAAGUAAUCUGGUCGAAGACGCAUGGAAAACUAUCAAUCAAGCACGCUUUGAGCGUUCCUCGCUUGUGCCGGCUGUGAACCGAGUCGCCAACUUAGCGAUGAGCAUAAUGUUCUUCUACCAAGGCAGCGAAGACGCCUACACCUUCAACAAGCUCAGCAUGAAUAUCAUCAAGCAGCUGUUCGUCAAGCCUAUCCCCAUAAUCUAGAUAUUAUACUACACUCCAUGUGCCAGCAGUGAAUUCCUAUAGUAAACAUGAGAUGCCUAGAUGAUCUUGUCAUCAUGCAACGUCUUUAAUUCUUUGUGAGUGUUGAAUAAUUGUGUGCACGCAUAUAAUUAGGUGUUUGUGUCCUCGCAAAAAAGAAAAAAGAAAAAAAAAGUGUUUGUGCUUGCAGUUUGCUGGGGUGUUUUGUUGUCGUGCGUGGCAAACUGUUUGCCAUGACUUGUGUAAUUCUCCCUAUAUUUCAGUUCAAAUGGAUCAGAAAAGAUGCGCUUGUUGAGGCAGCACAAAAA